AGGCCUGAGGGUUAUAAAAGCACUUCAGCAGAGGAAAGGUAAGGGCGUAAAUGCACCAUUGCAUUGAGCGGUUACUUGCAAGAAGAAGCCUCCCGGCUAACUUCCUUGCCAGCAGCCGCGGUUAAUUCCGGGGGGUGCCAAGCCUUUAAUUCGGAAUUACCUGGGCGGUUAAGGCGCACGCCAGGCGGUUUGUUUAAGUUCAGAUUUGAAAUCCCCCGCGCCUUAACGUGGGAACUGCAUUGGAAACUGGCAAGCUAGAGUUCUUGUAGAAGGGGGGUAGAAUUCCCAGGUGUAGCGGUGAAAUGCGUAGAAGAUCUGGAGGAAUACCGGUGGGCGAAGGCGGCCUCCUGGACAAAGACUGACGCUCAGGUGCGAAAGCGUGGGGAGCAAACAGGAUUAGAUACCCUGGUAGUCCACGCUGUAAACGAUGUCGAUUUGGAGGUUGUGCCCUUGAGGCGUGGCUUCCGGAGCUAACGCGUUAAAUCGUCCGCCUGGGGAGUACGGCCGCAAGGUUAAAACUCAAAUGAAUUGACGGGGGCCCGCACAAGCGGUGGAGCAUGUGGUUUAAUUCGAUGCAACGCGAAGAACCUUACCUACUCUUGACAUCCAGAGAACUUUCCAGAGAUGGAUUGGUGCCUUCGGGAACUCUGAGACAGGUGCUGCAUGGCUGUCGUCAGCUCGUGUUGUGAAAUGUUGGGUUAAGUCCCGCAACGAGCGCAACCCUUAUCCUUUGUUGCCAGCGAUUCGGUCGGGAACUCAAAGGAGACUGCCGGUGAUAAACCGGAGGAAGGUGGGGAUGACGUCAAGUCAUCAUGGCCCUUACGAGUAGGGCUACACACGUGCUACAAUGGCGUAUACAAAGAGAAGCGAACUCGCGAGAGCAAGCGGUCCUCAUAAAGUACGUCGUAGUCCGGAUUGGAGUCUGCAACUCGACUCCAUGAAGUCGGAAUCGCUUGUAAUCGUAGAUCAGAAUGCUACGGUGAAUACGUUCCCGGGCCUUGUACACACCGCCCGUCACCCCAUGGGAUGUGGGUUGCA
RNAcentral lists this ribosomal RNA (1038 nucleotides) under Serratia sp. (in: enterobacteria). RNAcentral's name for it is "bacterial SSU rRNA". It matches the Rfam family "Bacterial small subunit ribosomal RNA", at positions 412 to 1420 of the family's 1533-position model. Lineage: Bacteria; Pseudomonadati; Pseudomonadota; Gammaproteobacteria; Enterobacterales; Yersiniaceae. The record is from RNAcentral.